RNAcentral lists this transfer RNA (64 nucleotides) under Runaria sp. 'striata'. RNAcentral describes it as "tRNA-Glu". The record is from RNAcentral. Lineage: Eukaryota; Metazoa; Arthropoda; Insecta; Hymenoptera; Blasticotomidae.
AAUUAUAUAGUUUAAAAAACAUUACAUUUUCAUUGUAAAAUUAAGAAAAUUUUCUUUAUAAUUA